CAAUUACGAUUUACGAGCUUCCUUCAUCGAUUACUCUCCAGAGGUCGAUAUGAAUCUCCGAUUUGCAUCAUCUCUCUCACUCCGAUCGUGACAUGCGGCUCUGCAAAUGAUGAAUUCUGCCCAAACACUCAGUACUACCUUCAAUCGUCGCCAGCAGCCUCAGUUGUGACCUCAAUCACAGGAGAAAUCAGAAGCAAUCGGCAUCGCAUGUUUCAGCAAAGAACAGAGAGAGAGAGAGAAAGAGUUGGGGGAAACGAAAUAAUGUUUGGGUUCUUUUCACGCUUUUUUUUUUGCUUGUUUUGUUAAAACCAACUGACCAAUGAUAACGCACCACGUCAUCGUCUCUCAUCUCUCUCAAAAACUCUCUCAAGAGAGACAGCUCUCUCUCUUUUAAUCCAUUUUGAUUUAUUUUUCAACUCUUUUUUCAAGAGAACCAACAAUGAGAACUCCAUUUUGCAUCCAUUGGAGAUGCUCUCAUUAGACAAUCUCUU
Long non-coding RNA from Arabidopsis thaliana (thale cress), 491 nucleotides. RefSeq annotates it as other RNA. Lineage: Eukaryota; Viridiplantae; Streptophyta; Magnoliopsida; Brassicales; Brassicaceae. The transcript has a single exon. The record is from RefSeq.